RNAcentral lists this transfer RNA (87 nucleotides) under Deltaproteobacteria bacterium RIFCSPHIGHO2_02_FULL_40_11. RNAcentral's name for it is "tRNA-Ser". It matches the Rfam family "tRNA". From Rfam's summary of the family: Transfer RNA (tRNA) molecules are approximately 80 nucleotides in length. Lineage: Bacteria; Deltaproteobacteria. The record is from RNAcentral.
GGAGAGGUGGCAGAGCGGUUGAAUGCGGCGGUCUUGAAAACCGUUAGACCCGAAAGGGUCUCGGGAGUUCGAAUCUCCCCCUCUCCG